CGAAGGGUGCAAGCGUUAAUCGGAAUUACUGGGCGUAAAGCGCGCGUAGGUGGUUUGUUAAGUUGGAUGUGAAAGCCCCGGGCUCAACCUGGGAACUGCAUCCAAAACUGGCAAGCUAGAGUAUGGCAGAGGGUGGUGGAAUUUCCUGUGUAGCGGUGAAAUGCGUAGAUAUAGGAAGGAACACCAGUGGCGAAGGCGACCACCUGGGCUAAUACUGACACUGAGGUGCGAAAGCGUGGGGAGCAAACAGGAUU
This 254-nucleotide ribosomal RNA is filed under the name uncultured bacterium. Its description in RNAcentral is "partial 16S ribosomal RNA". It matches the Rfam family "Bacterial small subunit ribosomal RNA", at positions 526 to 779 of the family's 1533-position model. The record is from RNAcentral.